GGAUGUAUCUUUCUGGCUGCGACAUCUGUCACCCCAUUGGUCGCCAGGGUUGAUCCGGCUGAUCUGGCUGGCUAGGCGGGUGUCCCCUUCCUCCCUCACCGCUCCAUGUGCGUCCCUCCCGAAGCUGCGCCCUCAGUCGAAGAGGACGGCCUUCCCCAAUAGAGACAGACUGGUCUUCGGUCGAGGGUAUACGAGUAGCUGCGCUCCCCUGCUAGAACCUCCAAACAAGCUCUCAAUCUCUGAAUUCUAAUCAUUGUUGUAGUAUUCCUUAGGCAUGUCACUCUAAUAGCCUAAAAGACUUUUUUUUUUUCUUUUU
This is a non-coding RNA of Erinaceus europaeus (western European hedgehog), 316 nucleotides long. The record is from Rfam. NCBI's taxonomy places the organism in Eukaryota, Metazoa, Chordata, Mammalia, Eulipotyphla, Erinaceidae.